UGAACAACACUUUGCUGGGUAGAUUAUAAUUGUGUGGCUUCUCCCAUAGGUGACAUUAAUUACCAAGAAUUUGCUAAAAGACUCUGGGGUGACAUCUACUUCAACCCUAAGACACGAAAGUUCACCAAAAAGGCCCCAACUAGCAGCUCCCAGAGAAGUUUCGUGGAGUUUAUCUUGGAGCCCCUUUAUAAGAUCCUCGCCCAGGUUGUAGGUGACGUGGACACCAGCCUCCCACGGACCCUAGACGAGCUUGGCAUCCACCUGACGAAGGAAGAGCUGAAGCUGAACAUCCGCCCCUUGCUCAGGCUGGUCUGCAAAAAGUUCUUUGGCGAGUUCACAGGCUUUGUGGACAUGUGUGUGCAGCAUAUCCCUUCUCCAAAGGUGGGCGCCAAGCCCAAGAUUGAGCACACCUACACUGGCGGUGUGGACUCCGACCUCGGCGAGGCUAUGAGUGACUGUGACCCUGAUGGCCCCCUGAUGUGCCACACUACUAAGAUGUACAGCACAGAUGAUGGAGUCCAGUUUCACGCCUUUGGCCGGGUGCUGAGUGGCACCAUUCAUGCUGGGCAGCCUGUGAAGGUACUG
RNAcentral lists this small RNA (585 nucleotides) under Pongo abelii (Sumatran orangutan). Its description in RNAcentral is "retained intron". The record is from RNAcentral. Lineage: Eukaryota; Metazoa; Chordata; Mammalia; Primates; Hominidae.